Molecule: long non-coding RNA, 1731 nt
Organism: Apus apus (common swift)
Lineage: Eukaryota; Metazoa; Chordata; Aves; Apodiformes; Apodidae
Exons: 2
Source: RefSeq, a predicted model, not a curated record
GGGAGGUUUUGCCAGCAGGGAUCCUCUCCCUGCAGGUGGCUCAGCUCCUGUGCGGAGCAGCUCACCUGGAGGGAGCUGCGUCCCUCUGGGCACGGGAUGCAGGAACCUGCUGCCACCCUGGGGCUGGCCCCGGGUGCCCUGAGCUGUGACAGUGGAGCAGGCACCAGGCCCCUGGGAUCUUCCAUCCCUGGGGCCACCUCUAGCCCGAGUACCCAUGAGGGGUGAUGGCAACAGGAGAUGGUACCAUAGCCCCCCUGUGACAACAGCCCCUGCCCAGAAAGCCCUGCCCUCGGGGGUCACCUCGACACCCGUGUCCACCCUGCUCGGUUCACUGUCUGCAGUGAGGAGGAGGAAGGCUGCAGGCUGUCCCUCCUUCCCACGCAGUCAGGUUCCCCCAGCCAGAAAGGCUCCUGCCCCUCAAGUGCUUUUUGUGCCUUUUGGUCAGGGAGCAGGGAUGGCCUCACUCAGCCUGGUCCAGCUGCUGGACCUUGCCCUAAGGACACCUGCUUUUGGGGCUGUCCAGUAUCGGGCCCUGUAGCAGCUGCUGCUGAUCCUGCUCCAGCUUUUCUGAAUAUUCCCUCACUUUGAUUGGAAAAUUCCUAGCCCUCCCUGCUGAAAUAGCCUGACAGAUCUUAGUGGCCCAUUCAAUGUACACAAAAGUGCCCUAGUUAGGUCUAAAACUUGAAAUAGCAGAAAUAAAUAGUUACAUCUUGAAGAUGUGAAUUGAAACUAAGCCAAUUAGGCAAGAAUAAAAACGGCACAAAGGAGGGAGGCAUUUGAUUUGCUUGACUUUCUGUGUCUAGUAUGCACAUGUACCAGAUCAAAGAUAAAAGACUAAUUUUUCCCCGGCAGGCUGAUCUGGACAGGUGGUGCUGUACUGUCUGAAAAGACUGUGCCAGUGAAACAGCUGGUCAUUAUUUGGCAGAUCUUUCUUCUUCACAGUGACAUCCUCAGAGUGAUCUGAUGAGGCAAAGCUAAAUUGUGUCUGUCACCUGUUAAAAGCAUGUCCUGGGAAGGAAAACUGCAGCAGGUAUCUCUAUGGAUUCCUGGAAGCUGCCUGCAUUAUCGACAGUAUCAGACUCGUAACUGCCCCAUACAUGGUCUUUCCCAAAACCCAAGAAGUUUACUGCACAGCCAGAUUUAUCAGGAAAACACAGACAAGUUGACUUGCAGCCUGAGUGCACCCCAGGGGGGGUUGUUCUGAGAGGCCUGAAAGAAUUCGGGCAAGGUGUGGCUGUCUCACUACUAAAAAAUACCUUUGUUUUACUUCUAGGAGAGAAAUCUCAACAUAGAAUCACAAGUAGGUGAUAAGGGCAGCAAGAGCUGUGGCUCUUUUUUUGAGGACAGCCCAACAAUGCUCUCAGGAAUUACAGAUGCAGGAGCCCCUGGCGAAUGGUUUAAAUGACAAAGAGGAUACAUCAAGAAAUCUUCAACUGUUCUUUUCUUUCUUAGAAGGACUAACAGCUCUCCAAGUAUUUCAAGUCCUUUUGCUCAGAUCAAUAAGGCCCGCAGGGAGAACCUAUUGAGGCUGCUGGGUUCUUCAGUGUCCUAAACCGGGAGCUUAAACACUGCAGAAAUCUGCACUUCCAGUGUUCCCUUUUUCAGGGACAGAGAGAAAAGGACAUGUCUGGUCAUCAGUGCAUGAGGUGAACAGCUGGACCCUCUGGUUCCAGUCACCAACAGCCAGUUGUGUUUUCUCCUCACUUGUGGAAACUAAAAAAGUGAAACCAA